RNAcentral lists this long non-coding RNA (2192 nucleotides) under Cucumis sativus (cucumber). Its description in RNAcentral is "long non-coding RNA (CSAT_LNC002866)". Lineage: Eukaryota; Viridiplantae; Streptophyta; Magnoliopsida; Cucurbitales; Cucurbitaceae. The record is from RNAcentral.
UCAUUUUCACACUUUUCUUCCUUUUCUUUUUUCUUAUAAUUUCUAUGCAUUUCUUUUAUUUUCUCUCUCAAUUAAUCAUCCUAAGUUCCUAAAUACACCGUUUCCGUUUCAACACCACCGGCUUCCCAUUUUCCUACACAAUUGCUCCAACUCAAGCAUUACGUUUCUUUCACCUUAUGCUGCAUUCAAAUCCUACCCCUUCCCAUAUCUUCUUUCAAUGAUCAGUUACUUGGCGGACUAAUUAUCUAACAUUAACCAUUACUCUCUACUGUUCUCUCUCUUUCAUAAAAUGCACCUUCCUGGACUUUCGCCUCAUUGCUGCACCCUCAAUAUUUUGAUUAAUUGCCUUUGCAAUGUGAAUUGAGUUACCCAAGGUCUUGCAGUCACAUAUAAUGCCUUGGUUACGUUGUGAGGAAAUGAAAUCUCCGAAAAUGAUUCCUUAUGUCCUUUUCGUUUACCUCUUUGAUUCAUGGAUUUUGUUCAAUAAGAUGGUGGAUCAAGGUGUAGUCAACCAAAUUAAAUGUGUUGAUUGAAAAUGUUAUCAAGGCUAAGGAGUUGCUUCAGGUCAUGAUUCAAAGAGGUAUUGUUCUUGAUUUAUGUUAACUUAUAAUUCACUGAUUGAGUGGUUUUUUGUAAGGGUGGUGACCUGAGUAGUACUGCCAAGGAGUUGUUUGUUAGUAUGUCAAGUAAAGGAUAUGAAUUUGUAUAUAAAUAUGAUGUAAUUAGUUAUUACACCGUGUUAAUCUAUGGGUAUUGUAAAACCCUGAAGGUGGAAGAAGCAAUGGAGGUUUAUAAUAAAAUGCUUCGUGCUAGUUGGACAAAGGCCAAAUAUGAAAACAUAUGGUGCCUUGUUAAAAUGGUUUUCUUGCUGACAAGAUUGGCGAUGCAAAGAAACUGUUUGGUGUCAUUAAAACUCAUGAUAUUCCCAAAAUUCAUAUGUAUGUGUUACUUUCUUUCAUGGGCUGUGUAAGAAAGAUUGUUUAUUUGAAGUGAUAGAACUUUUCAAUGAGCUAAACUCAUACAACAUGAAAUUCGACACUGAAAGUUUUAAUGGUCUAAUUGUCACACCCGACUCCAAAAAUUACUAUGCAAUCAAGUGGUGAUGUGACCACCUAGACAUUUAUGCGAGUUAACACGUAAAAUGCCUAGUAAGCGAAAUUAAAUGCAAUCAAUAGACUUAAACGCGAGAUGUGAACUUAAUGAAAUAAGAAAAUUUAUUUGAUAACUCAAAUCAUUGAGUAUAUUUUAGAACUUAAUACAAGGUUUCUUUAAAAAAACUAUGUACAAUUCAAAAUAACACUUAUCCGAUUUUAUAAUGACAAUGACCACUACUGAAAGGGUGAAUUUCACGGAUGGCUCAACAAGUGUUCAAGGCUGCAAGUUCAACACUAGAUGGUCAUUCGUUACUUGAGAGAGAUUAAAACAAAAUAUUUGAAAGGUUAGACAAAAACGUCUGGUGAGUGGGGUCUUUUAUCAAUAUUUUUGUUAAAUUAAAGUUGCCUUCUCGUGCUAUAAUCAUUUCAUCAACUCAUGUGGUAAAUAAUACAUGACUUAAUCAGUAAAGUAUUGAGUUUAAAUUAAAUCAUCUUAAUUUUAUCAACAACGACUUUCACAAAUCAUGAUUUUUCAUAAUUUCAUAUAGAAAUCAUCUUUUUUUUCUUCUUUCAAUUCUUUCAUUGUAAUUCAUAUCACAUGGUAUGCAUCUUGCAUAUACAAUAAGCAUCUCACAAAACUAAUAUGUAUGUUUAAUUAUUACAUCUUUGUACUUUUUUCUUCAGCUCAAGCAUUUACUACACUCUUUUGUCAAAUUGCGGCUAUGUGGAAUAAACUCAAAGCAUUUAGCAAGUUUAAUCAAUUCUAUUAGGCAUAAUGCAUCUUCCAAUGUCAGGUCAUACAAUAAGCAAAGUGUAUUCCAUACCAUAUCACACAAGUAUAAUGGAAGACGGUUGAAGGGCUUGCGACCAGUUGAGAAAGCCACCAGGUGUUUAAGGGUUGUUAUGUUUGGUCAAAGUGUUAUAAUUGUAUAAUAUUAUUAAACGCCUAUUAUUAAUAAAGUGUAUGUUUUGAUUAAGUUAUUUAUCAUUUGGCGUUUAAGGUUGACUUCUGUUGCAUUUUUUGUUUUUGUUAAUAGUUUAAAGGAUGUGAGAAUAAAAUUAGCUAUAAAACCAAUUAACAAAUUUUAAGCUAAUUCG